RNAcentral lists this ribosomal RNA (255 nucleotides) under uncultured bacterium. RNAcentral's name for it is "partial 16S ribosomal RNA". It matches the Rfam family "Bacterial small subunit ribosomal RNA", at positions 1250 to 1500 of the family's 1533-position model. The record is from RNAcentral.
CGAACCUGCGAAGGCAAGCGGAUCUCUUAAAGCCGUUCUCAGUUCGGACUGUAGGCUGCAACUCGCCUACACGAAGCUGGAAUCGCUAGUAAUCGCGGAUCAGCACGCCGCGGUGAAUACGUUCCCGGGCCUUGUACACACCGCCCGUCACACCAUGGAAGUCUGCAAUGCCCGAAGCCGGUGGCCUAACCACUUAUGUGGAAGGAGCCGUCUAAGGCAGGGCAGAUGACUGGGGUGAAGUCGUAACAAGGUAAC